AAAGUGAUUUCUCGCACAUCGCUGCUCGCCUGCCCCAUCGUCGCCUCGCGCCGACGUCCCCAACUCCGUCCGAUGACGUCUUCCACCAGCCACACUAGUGCAAAAGAUGACUAUCUGGUGUUAUCCCCAAAGAUUAAUUGUCACCUUGUCAAGAGAUCUACAAAACGACUUCAUACCCUGCUUUGCCGUUCUUGAGUGCUUUCCCGGAGAUUGGAGCAACAAGUUUAUUUUUCAAUUGCAACUGCUUUGUCAUCCUUGAGUGACUCCUGGGAAAUUGCAGAACAACGACCAUGUGUGUUCAUUAUACUACGUUAAUACUUAUGUUUAUUUCUUUAUCUUUUGGAUGUUCGAUAUUCUGGAUUUUGGAUGUGUUGGUACUUAUUUGAUAAGGUUGUUAGGGGUAAAAUAUUACAUUUAUGUUUCUGGCGUGUUGGAAACAUUGUUGGAUCAGUGUCAUUUUGUAUAUUGUUUUUAUAAUUUUUGUAUUUGAUAUAAAAACAGG
Andrographis paniculata is the source of this 502-nucleotide long non-coding RNA. RefSeq lists it as uncharacterized. The record is from RefSeq and is a predicted model, not a curated record. The transcript is spliced from 3 exons. NCBI's taxonomy places the organism in Eukaryota, Viridiplantae, Streptophyta, Magnoliopsida, Lamiales, Acanthaceae.